CCGUCGUGCCCGGACCCUGUCGCA
RNAcentral lists this non-coding RNA (24 nucleotides) under Arabidopsis thaliana (thale cress). Lineage: Eukaryota; Viridiplantae; Streptophyta; Magnoliopsida; Brassicales; Brassicaceae. The record is from RNAcentral. RNAcentral also lists the same sequence under 1 other name.